This 553-nucleotide long non-coding RNA is filed under the name Brassica napus (rape). RNAcentral's name for it is "long non-coding RNA (BNAP_LNC018689)". Lineage: Eukaryota; Viridiplantae; Streptophyta; Magnoliopsida; Brassicales; Brassicaceae. The record is from RNAcentral.
GAUGAGCAUUCUUUUAAAAGUUUUGAUCAAUAGGUUGUAUAUUUUAGAUAAAGUUCUCAAAAAUUAUAUUUUUGGAUAGUUUUCAUUUUUGUGAAUAAUAGUGUGGAUUUGGGGUUUUGAUUUAGAAAUUCGAAUAACAACAAUUGUUUGUUGAUAGAUGAGUAUUCUUUUAGAUUUUUUGAACAAUAGUUGUAUUUUUAAAUAUAAUUCUCAAAAGUUCUAUUUUAGGAAAGUUUUCAUUUUCUAUAGAAAUAUUGUAGAUUUGGGGUUGUGAUUUAGAAAUUAGGAUAACAAUAUUUUUUGUUGAUAGAUGAGUAUUUUUUUAGAUUUUUUGAUCAAUAGGUUGUAUAUUUUAGAUAAAAUUUUCAAAAUUCUAUUUUUAAAAAGUUUUCAUUUUUAUUGCGAAAUACUGUAGAUUUGGGGUUGUGAUUUAGAAUUUAGGAUAACAAGAAUUUUUGUUGAUAGAUGAGUAUUCUUUGAGGAUUUUUGAUCAAUAAGUUGUAUUUUUAAGAUAAAAUUCUCAAAAAUUCUCUUUUAGGAAAGUUUUUAUUUU